Molecule: ribosomal RNA, 429 nt
Filed under: Bacteroidota bacterium
Lineage: Bacteria; Pseudomonadati; Bacteroidota
Description: Bacteroidetes bacterium partial 16S ribosomal RNA
Rfam family: Bacterial small subunit ribosomal RNA
Source: RNAcentral
UAGGGAAUCUUCCGCAAUGGACGCAAGUCUGACGGAGCAACGCCGCGUGAGUGAAGAAGGAUUUCGGUUCGUAAAACUCUGUUGUUAGAGAAGAACAGCGCAUAGAGUAACUGUUAUGCGUGUGACGGUAUCUAACCAGAAAGCCACGGCUAACUACGUGCCAGCAGCCGCGGUAAUACGUAGGUGGCAAGCGUUGUCCGGAUUUAUUUGGCGUAAAGCGAGCGCAGGCGGUCAAUUGAGUGUGAUGUGAAAGCCCCCGGCUCAACCGGGGAGGGUCAUUGGAAACUGGUGGACUUGCGUGCAGAAGAGGAGAGUGGAAUUCCAGGUGUAGCGGUAAAAGGCGUAGUUAUAUGGAGGAACACCAGUGGGGAGGGCGACUCUCUGGUCUGUAACUGACGCUGAGGCUCGAAAGCGUGGGUAGCAAACAGG